CCCUUGUGUCACUUGGUUUUGUCAUUUCAAGCCAAAACAGAGGACCGGUCGAAGAAAAAUUCAUUGUGAAUCAACACUUAUCAGGGGUGUAAAUAAUUUUGGGCUCAGCUGCAGGCACUGAUUGGUGCUAAUCGGGGACAGGUAUGUUGGCAGGAGGUGAUCAGGUGAGCUGAGAAGACAAAUCACUACCAGGUUUCCAUUGAGAGGCAGCAGGAAGCUUUCAGAAGCUCUCACUCAUCUCUAAGUGAUACAUGUUUGUUUUUUUCCAUCUCUUCAACUGCAGUAAAGAAACAAACAGCAGCAGGAUCUUAACGGGUCAAAGGUUUGAUUCGGUUCAGUGGUGCCGGUUGAAUAAAUGUGAGAGAAAAUCUCCACAUGUAAAUUCUCACACCAAACGCCUGCGAAGUCUUUGCCUGGAGCGUCUUUGCAUUCUGAUCAAGAAGCAUCCUGGUAUGUGGGAGGAACUGGCAAACAUCCUGCUUUAUGAACUGUCUGUCAGCCGCAUAUGAAGCUCGCUGCUGGAGAGGCGAGAAGGAAGAGGGAGGGUCUGUGUUUAAAAGCACCCACAGCGUUUACCGCCUCGCAGGGAAACAAAGGAUGGAAAACAGAUUGUGUUUUUGAAUGUGUUGCCUGCGGUGGAGCUUCAGGGAGAAGAUCUGCAGCCUCCAGUGGAUUCAGUGGUCAGAGGAAACUUAACAAACUGAGCAGAUUUGAUCUUCUGUCCUUCUACCUACAGAAAAAGGAGAAGUCAGUGAAUAAAAAUGAACCAAACUGCAACCGUCUCCCAUCAGAUUGAGUGUCAGCCGACCAAGGAUGUCAAGGAGUUUGUGGACGUCAGCCCGCCGCAGAGGAACUGGAAGGGCAUCGCCAUCUCGCUGCUGGUGAUCGUGGUGGUGUGCUCGCUCAUCACCAUGUCGGUGUUCGUCCUCACACCCGUUGAGCAUCUUGGAAGCAGUAAGUCCAGACUGACUGUGGCGGAUCUCUACAGACCAGAGUUCAGCAUUCACAACCCGGAAGCGACAUGGAUCAGCGAUACGGAGGUGGUGUACAGGAACAGAGACGGUCACGUCAUCAAGUUUGACUUCGUCCUGAACGAGACUGAAGUCAUUCUGACCAACAGCACAUUUGUGGCUUUCAAGGUGGCAAAGUACUCGCUGUCUGCAGAUCUGAAGUACGCGCUCUUCGCAUACGACGUCAAACCGAUGUACAGAUACUCGUACACGGCGUCUUACAUCGUCUACAACAUCUACACGAGGGAGGUUUGGGAGCUAAACCCUCCGGAGGUCCACAACGCCGUCCUCCAACAUGCAUCCUGGGGAAGACAAGGACAGCAGCUGAUCUACAUCUUUGAGAAUAAUAUUUAUUACCAGUCGGAUGUGAGGAGUAACUCUCUGAGAAUCACCUCCUCUGGGAUGGAGGGAGUCAUCUUCAAUGGACUCACUGACUGGCUGAACGAAGAGGAGAUUCUUCACUCACACUUGGCCCACUGGUGGUCACCUGACGGAGAAAGACUGGCUUUCCUCACCAUCAAUGACUCUCUGGUUCCCAACAUGGCUUUGCCCCAGUUCACCGGCAGCACCUACCCCCGAGGCCUGCAGUACCCCUACCCAAUGGCUGGUCAGACGAACCCUGCGGUGAAGCUGUCGGUGGUCAACGUGUUCGGUGGGACUCACACUCAGGAGCUGCAGCCUCCCGAUCAGCUCAGACUCAGGGAUUUCUACGUCACCAUGGUGAAGUGGAUCAGCGACACUCAUCUCGCUGUGAGGUGGAUCAACCGGCCACAAAACGCCUCGCUGCUAACCGUGUGCGACGCCACCAUCGGAGCCUGUCUUCAGAGACACGAGGACUCUUCAGACACUUGGCUGCCCAGACAGAGACAAGAACCGCUGUUCUCCAAGGACAGGAGCAGGUUUUUCCUCACGCUGCCGGUGAAACAAGGAGGGCAGGGAGAUUUCCACCACAUCACCAUGUUCACCAAGAAGUUACGAAGCAGUCAGGAUGAAGUUCGCCACCUAACAUCGGGAGACUGGGAGGUGACAAAAAUCGUAGGUUACGAUGAAAACAACCAGAUCAUAUACUUUCUGAGCACCGAGGACGCCGCAGCACAAAGACACUUAUACAGCGUGUCAACACUUGGUUUGUUUCCACGGCGAUGCCUCACCUGUGGUCUGAGGGAGGAUUGUACCUUCUUCGACGCCGACGUCAGCCCCGAUGCUCAGCACGCCAUCCUGCACUGUCAAGGUCCCGGAGUUCCAGCUGUGCUGCUUCUAAGUUUCGACAACGUGGACUCCUAUUUCAUCUUGGAGAAGAACCUCCCUCUGCGAUCUGCGCUGGAGACCGUAAGGACGGUUCAAACUGACAUCCGGAUGAUCGCUAAUGACAACUUUGAGCUGCCUCUGAAGCUCAUCUAUCCUCCAGACUUCUCCGAGUCUUCCCUCUAUGGCCUCCUUCUAAUUGUCGGCAGCUCUCCAGGUGACCAGGUGGUGACGGAGGAGUUCAGGCUGGACUGGGAUCGGGUUCUGGUCGGGUCGGAUCAGGUCAUCGUGGCCCGGCUGGACGGCAGGGGGUCGGGCUUCAGGGGUCAGAGGAUCUUACAGCAGGUUCAUCACCGGCUCGGCGACGUGGACGCCGAUGACCAGAUUGCAGCUCUGCAAUACCUGGCGAGGCUGCCGUUCAUCGAUCGCACUCGUGUCGGAGUCUUUGGAGAGCAGGGCUACGGUGGCUACCUCACCCUGAUGAUGUUGAAGUCCAUGGACAACCCAAUCAGAUGUGCAGCAGCUCAGGCUCCCAUCACCGACUGGACGCUGUACGCCUCAGCCUCCUCAGAGAGAUACUUUGGUUCGCCUUCGACUAAGGAGAGCAAAUACGGAAGCUCCAAAGUGCAGCCCAGCAUGAAAAGCCUGCAGGAUAGAAGUCUGUUUCUGGCUCACGGCACCGCUGACGCCAAUGUCCACUUCCAGCACUCAGCCGAGCUCAUCAAACACUUGAUAAAGAUUGGAGCCAACUACACUAUGCAGAUCUACCCAGAUGAGGGCCACUUCCUGUCCAGACGCAGCCAGAUCCAGCUGACUCAGUCCCUGAUUGGAUAUUUCAGAGGAUGUCUGCUCGACGCGUCAUCGCUGCUCGACCAACGGGACGACGACUGAGGUGUUGCCGUGGUUACCGCUGUGUGUUUUCUGAGCAGCCUGUCAUUCCCCCUCCUGUCCUGAAGGUGUCCUCAGUGUUCCCACCCUCAUCAUCCUCCCUCCCCUCCUCCCUCCCAUCCUCAGACAGCAAUCUGUGCCAUAGAGUGACUAAGGACUGGAAAUGGACAACGAAACUGGAGCUGAAGAGAAAGGCCGGAACCGUUGUUUGUGGUAGGUUUCAAACUGGAGGUAAGUAGAUAUAUAUGAAAGAAAAUAGGUAAAUAAAUAUGUAUAUGAUCAAAAAAAGGAUGAAAAAACUUCUAUGUAAAACAGUCGACUGGCAGACUGAAGGAAAAACACAAGAAACGCUGUUCUUCCAAACAGAUGCACUGCAGGUCCAACCGAGCAACCAACUAGGGCUGUAAGCAACAAUUAUUUCCAUUGUUGAUGGUUUUCUUGAUUAAUCGAUUAGUUGUUUGGUUUAUAAAAUGGUGAAAAAGGACCACAACCCAAAGAUGUUCAAUAAACUGUCAUAGAAGAGGAAAGAAAACAGAAAAUAUUCACAUCUAAGAAGCUGAAAUCACAGAAUUUAGACUUCAUUUCUUAAAAUAUUGAAUCAAACUGAUUAACUGAUUAGUUGUUUAAUCUAUAAAAUGUCAAAACAAAAAGGUGAUUCCAAAGCUGAAGAUGAUAGCUUCAAAUAUUAUGAUUUGUGGAGGAAAGAAACCAGAAACUAUGCACAUAAAAGGAGUUGGAGUCACAGAUAUGCACUUUCUUUCUUUAAAAAUCACUCAAACUGAUUGGUUAAUAGACAACUAAUUGCUAAAUUGAAUAAUCAUUGCACACGUACUGUGCUGCGUAUACAAAAUUCAGAGCUGACACCUGGUAAAGAACCAGGUGAUCCUGAAAGAAAGCUCAGAAAGUUCUCAUUCAUUGCUUUUCUACUCCAAAAGUUCUUGUAGAAAUGCAAACCAGUCCACAGUUUCACCAAUUUGUUGCAGAAAUUGCUCUUAAAGUUGAAAUCAAUGCCCAAACUGUCUGAGAAUUAUGUUUGAUUCUUCAUUAGUCCACCUAAAACAUUGUACCCUUGUUUUCCAUCACAAUUCCGAGUUCUUAAUAACUUUUUGCUUCCAGACAAAUACAGUUUUAAAGGGAAAGUCGUUUCUAAAUUGGUUCAGAAACAAGAACCCUAACGCCCUAAAUGUGGGCUAAAGUCAAAGCACAGAAGUGACUAAAGCUUGAAUAUUAAUGGGCAAAUUUAUCAAAAACAUGGUUAUUAAAGUACUUCAGUAUCUAAAACCUAGAUAUUAAGUUAUUAAGAUAUCUAAAACUUUGAUUUCAACCCAUUAAAAUAUCAAAAAUCUGGACAUUAAUACACUAAAAAGUCAAAAAAUACUGAUAAUAAUGUUUCAUGUUCACUAAAACCUAGAUAUCGAUCCACUAAAGUAUAUAAAACCUAGAUAUUGAUGCACUGAAGUGUCUCAAACUUGGAUAUUGAUGUUCUAUAGUAACUGAAACCGAGAUAUUCAUCUACUAAAGUAUCUAAAACCUGGAUAUUAAUGUUCUAUAGUAACUGAAACCGAGAUACUCAUUGACUAAAGUAUCUAAAACCUGGAUAUUAAUGUUCUGUAGCACCUAUAACCUAGAUAUUAAUCCCCUAAAGUAUCUAAAACCUGGUUACAAUCUUCUAUAGUAGCUAAAACCUAGAUAUUCAUCUACUAACAUAUCUGUAACCUGGAUAUUAAUGCACUAAAGUGCAACAAACCUUGAUGAUAAUGUUCUAUAGUAACUAAAACCUAGAUAUUAAUUCACUAAAGUAUCUAAAACUUAGAUAUUAAUGUUCUAUAGUAACUAAAACCUAGAUGUUAAUGCACAAACGUAUCUAAAACUUAGAUAUUGAUGUUCUGUAAUAACCAAAGCCUAGAUAUUAAUGCACUAAAGUAUCUCAAACCUGGAUAAUAAUAUUCUAUAGUAAAUAAAACCUAUAUCUUCAUGUGCUAUAGCACCUAAAACCUAGAUAUUUGUCUACUAAAGUAUCUAAAACCUAGAUGUUAAUGUUCUAUAGUAACUAAAACCUAGGUAUUAAUCCACCAAAGUAUCUAUAACCUAGAUAUUGACGUACUAAAGUGUCACAAACCUGGAUGUUAAUCUUCUAUAGUAACUAAAAACCUAGUUAUUAAUGCACUAAAAUAUCAAUUUAUUAAUGUAUUUUCAUGUUUUUUUUUUGCAGAUCUUUUUCGUAAACUUGAUGUUAUAUCUACUGUCUUCUUGCAAACCGAACGUCAGACUCUUCAACAAACUGAAUUAUGAAUCUGUUCUUCUUGACGCAGCGUUUUAAAUUCCAAAUUUGACACCAGUAGAGCCAACACUUUAUCCAUCAGAGCUACAAGUGUCCAGCCUGCUGCAGUCAGACACUGAUAUCAUCACCUUUUAAUUUCCUUUUUGUCGCAUUGUGUCGUCGUGUUUGUGCGGUGCACAGAUACGCUUUAAGCCUCAUGUUGAAAGAGCAGAAAGUUAGAGUGAAAUGUAGGAGAACAGAACAUUUAUCUUCCUCUCCUACCUCCGUGACCUUCAUAAAUCCCCUGUCCAUGCCGCCGAGGCUCCGCUCAGAUUGAACCUUAAUUACUUGAAAGCAAUUACAGAGCCAAUAUGAAGGCCUCAUCCGCUGAGGAAGGAGGAGGAAGCUGAAACUUGAGAAAAACCGCGAAUUAACACCUGAACCAGGAAAUAAGUUUGUCUCUGGUGGUUGUGCAGAAAAUCUAUACAGCUGAAAACUCUUUCUGCUGCAGCAAAGAAACAAUACAAGCUUCAGUUGGGCAGUUUAAAGUCAGUGAAGCAGAGAGCACAUCUGUACAAUGUGACCAAAAGUAUGUUGACACACUUCAUAUCGACGUAUUUAACCAGAAGUAACUGACUAAUGUCUUAUGCAUUAGAUUUCACUUAUUUUAAUGUUGUGUUUGGAUUUGUUUUUAUGAAAUCCAAAUUACAAAUAAAAUAUGGGCCUAAAAUGUCAGAGUUCCUUAAACAUUUUGCCCUUUUUGCCUAAACAAUGAUAAAUGAACAGUUCAUUGGCAUUCAUGGACGCACCGGCUCAUGAAUUUUUCUGCUUUUAACAACAAUGGAAUGUGUUCUUAAGGAAAAUUAAGUGUAUGGUAAUUAUAUUUAAUGUUUUUGUUGCUGCAGUAGUGUUUAUAAAUCACACAAACUGUAUCAAGUCAAUCUUUUCUCUAUAUACUGACAGUGGCACCACACUGACAUCUUGUGGUGGAGGAACCACAGCUCAUCUAAAAAAGGUCUUAGAUUCUUUCGUCUUUAAUCUGAUAGUCUGUAAAGAUCAUGAAGAAUUGAAGGUAAAAUCACUCCCAUUAUAGGAAGAGGACAAAGAAAGAUAUUUGUGUUUAUCAUAAUUAAAUUUUUACUUAUGUUUUUGCAGCUUGUGUUUGCCAGUUCUUGGAAAUCGGCAUGUUUGUGUUAAUUUCUUGGCAGUAAAUUCAGUUUUUAAAAUACUUUUUCUAAUUUAAAACACCUGCCAUGUUAUUCCAUUUAGUCCUAAAAUGAGCAGUUUGUUGGUUUAUGAUUCACAAGGCCACUGAUGACUAAAAGGAAAAUUUUAUGAGGUUCACUUUUAAUUUUAUGCUAUCUGAAAAAAAACUUUCACAUCAGCCUAAAACCCAAACAUGCCAGCAGCUUUGAAAGGCAGAUUAUACUUUUAUAAACUGCCAAAAUGAGGCCAUUUAUCAGCCGGUCACUGAGCGAUACAUCUGUGACACGGUAUUUUGUUGGGAAAUUUAACUAAAAUUUAAACUUAAGAUCAUGAUAUUGAAUUAAAAUCACUGUUUUCUACAUGUUUAAUUUUAAAACUCACCCCCAAAAAUGAUGAGUAUCUUCUUGUUUUCAAUUUUUUUCAAGUAUUUUUAGAACAGAACUUUCACUUGUAGAAGCUGCUAACAUCUGUCAGUGUCCACAGUGCAGUGAAGAAGGAAGUUCUUUCUCUAGAAGCAGAACCUUAAAGCUAUUCUGAAGUUUGCUAUUGAUCACAUGGACAAAGAAAAGGCCUUCUAAAGGAAAGUUCUGUGGUCAGAUGAAACAAAAACUGAGCUAGUUGGCCACAAUGACCAGAAAUGUUAGGUUGAGAGACGGUGAGGCCUUUAAUCCCAAGAACACCAAACCUACUGUCAAGCAUGGUGGUGGCAGUAUUAUGC
Amphiprion ocellaris (clown anemonefish) is the source of this 7327-nucleotide RNA transcript. It is a transcript of the gene named inactive dipeptidyl peptidase 10-like, with no coding region annotated. NCBI's taxonomy places the organism in Eukaryota, Metazoa, Chordata, Actinopteri, Pomacentridae. The record is from RefSeq and is a predicted model, not a curated record. The transcript has 29 exons.